This 497-nucleotide ribosomal RNA is filed under the name uncultured bacterium. RNAcentral describes it as "partial 16S ribosomal RNA". It matches the Rfam family "Bacterial small subunit ribosomal RNA", at positions 28 to 507 of the family's 1533-position model. The record is from RNAcentral.
GACGAACGCUGGCGGCGUGCCUAAUACAUGCAAGUAGAACGCUGAAGAGAGGAGCUUGCUCUUCUUGGAUGAGUUGCGAACGGGUGAGUAACGCGUAGGUAACCUGCCUUGUAGCGGGGGAUAACUAUUGGAAACGAUAGCUAAUACCGCAUAACAAUGGAUGACACAUGUCAUUUAUUUGAAAGGGGCAAUUGCUCCACUACAAGAUGGACCUGCGUUGUAUUAGCUAGUAGGUGAGGUAAUGGCUCACCUAGGCGACGAUACAUAGCCGACCUGAGAGGGUGAUCGGCCACACUGGGACUGAGACACGGCCCAGACUCCUACGGGAGGCAGCAGUAUGGAAUCUUCGGCAAUGGGGGCAACCCUGACCGAGCAACGCCGCGUGAGUGAAGAAGGUUUUCGGAUCGUAAAGCUCUGUUGUAAGUCAAGAACGGGUGUGAGAGUGGAAAGUUCACACUGUGACGGUAGCUUACCAGAAAGGGACGGCUAACUACGUG